Trichonephila clavata is the source of this 70-nucleotide non-coding RNA. The record is from the annotation of a GenBank genome assembly. NCBI's taxonomy places the organism in Eukaryota, Metazoa, Arthropoda, Arachnida, Araneae, Nephilidae.
AAAUCGCUCAUUGUGAUGAUGCGUUGGACUUCUAAUCCAAAGGACGUGGUUUCGAAUCCCACCUGGAAUA